GUGCCAGCCGCCGCGGUAAUUCCAGCUCCAAUAGCGUAUAUUAAAGUUGUUGUGGUUAAAAAGCUCGUAGUUGAACCUUGGGCCUGGCUGGCCGGUCCGCCUCACCGCGUGCACUGGUCCGGCCGGGCCUUUCCCUCUGUGGAACCCCAUACCCUUCACUGGGCGUGGCGGGGAAACAGGACAUUUACUUUGAAAAAAUUAGAGUGCUCCAGGCAGGCCUAUGCUCGAAUACAUUAGCAUGGAAUAAUAAAAUAGGACGCGCGGUUCUAUUUUGUUGGUUUAUAGGACCGCCGUAAUGAUUAAUAGGGACAGUCGGGGGCAUCAGUAUUCAACUGUCAGAGGUGAAAUUCUUGGAUCAGUUGAAGACUAACUACUGCGAAAGCAUUUGCCAAGGAUGUUUUCAUUAAUCAGGAACGAAAGUUAGGGGAUCGAAGACGAUCAGAUACCGUCGUAGUCUUAACCAUAAACUAUGCCGACUAGGGAUCGGACGGUGUUAUUCAUGACCCGUUCGGCACCUUACGAGAAAUCAAAGUGCUUGGGCUCCAGGGGGAGUAUGGUCGCAAGGCUGAAACUUAAAGAAAUUGACGGAAGGGCACCACCAGGGGUGGAGCCUGCGGCUUAAUUUGACUCAACACGGGGAAACUCACCAGGUCCAGACACAAUAAGGAUUGACAGAUUGAGAGCUCUUUCUUGAUCUUGUGGUGGUGUGCAUGGCCGUUCUUAGUUGGUGGGGUGACUUGUCUGCUAAUUGCGAUACGAACGAGACCUUAACCUGCUAAAUAGCCCGCAUUGCUCCGGCAGUGCGCUGGCUUCUUAGAGGGACUUCGGG
Molecule: ribosomal RNA, 829 nt
Filed under: uncultured fungus
Lineage: Eukaryota; Fungi
Description: SSU rRNA
Rfam family: Eukaryotic small subunit ribosomal RNA
Source: RNAcentral